UUCUAGUUAUUAUUUGUGAUUUAAAUACAGCCCCAUAUAAAUGAGAAACAGCUCUCUUGCUCGUACAUGGCGCCCUUCAGAUGAGUUAUGUUAAGGAAUCGACUGAACCAUUAACUAUCAACAAUAUUUUUUUCAAUUAAAAUGGCUAAUGCUAUUAUUGACAUCUUACUAUGAAGAGAGUUCCCCAAUAUCUUCACCAAUCAUAUUUGCAACUAAUAUAUAGACUCUCCAACCUGCAUACUGUAAAUUAUCCAAGCAAAUGCUGUAUAACCAGGAGCAGAGGGCAUAUCCCUACCCAAGAUUGGACUGCACACAAGAUACAAUCAAGAAAUUUAAAUGAUUCACUUCCAUUUUUUUAUUUUCUUCUUCAUAAUGAAAUCAUGAACCUUGUAUUUGCAACACUCCGUACCACAAUCGGCAGGAAUGAGCAGACGAGAGCAACUUCAUUCAAAUUUACAACAUAAGUUAACAGAACACACAAGUCACCACUAAAUUGCCAAGACCAGCAGAAAUAAGCAUGUCAUUCUCUUCAAUUAAUCUACUUUUUUUCUCGGCAGAAGAAAAGAACAGACAACAUGUGUUUUAGCAUCUAAUUUCCUAAUGACACAGCAGAACAUCAAAGAAAUUUAAAAGCCCCAAAAAAUAAAAUAUAGCAUGCAAAAACUUAUUGCGCAAACGGAAAGAGUAAAGCAUACCCUUUUCCUUUCUCUCUUUUUCUCUAUUCAGAAUCCGAAGGUAAAUGUGAAGAAAGGAUAGGAAAAGGAUCAAUAGGUAAUUGUGUGGAAUCGGUAGGAAAAGGAUUAAUAGGUAAUUGUGUAGAAUCGGUAAGAAAAGGAUCAACGGGUAAUUGUGUAGAAUCGGUAAGAAAAGGAUCAACGGGUAAUUGUAAAGAAUCAGUAGGAAAAGGAUCGAUGGUGAAUUGUGGAGAUCCCGAUGGCACAGGAGCAGUGGUCGUGACAUUAGCAGCAGCAGCAGCAGCCUCGGAUUCCUCCUGCAUCAACUUCUGCAAUCCAGGUUUCAAUUCCUU
This 1027-nucleotide long non-coding RNA is filed under the name Populus tremula. Its description in RNAcentral is "long non-coding RNA (PTRE_LNC002137)". The record is from RNAcentral. Lineage: Eukaryota; Viridiplantae; Streptophyta; Magnoliopsida; Malpighiales; Salicaceae.